AUCACUGGAUCCACAGCUGCUGGGACAGCUAUGACAGGAUGACCUUCAAGAAAUUGAUUCAUCCUGUAGGUAGAUCUGUGAAAACUAUUUGGCACUGAAC
Molecule: long non-coding RNA, 100 nt
Organism: Myiozetetes cayanensis
Lineage: Eukaryota; Metazoa; Chordata; Aves; Passeriformes; Tyrannidae
Exons: 3
Source: RefSeq, a predicted model, not a curated record